This 212-nucleotide long non-coding RNA is filed under the name Elaeis guineensis (African oil palm). Its description in RNAcentral is "long non-coding RNA (EGUI_LNC046568)". The record is from RNAcentral. Lineage: Eukaryota; Viridiplantae; Streptophyta; Magnoliopsida; Arecales; Arecaceae.
GAUCUUCGGUUGUCUUUUCUUAUUAUCGCUCGAUAAAUUUCUCUUAUCAUUGGCUUUCGGCUGCUUUCUCUUGGAGCACUGACUUUCUUUUAUAUGAUGUUUUUAUCCAUAUAGAUCAUCUUUCGACUGCCUUCUCUUUGAGCAUCAGUUUUAUAUGAUCGUCACUCUCUAUGUCUUCUCAUAGUCAUGUUAUCUAAAUCAGCCACACCAGC